This 115-nucleotide ribosomal RNA is filed under the name Streptococcus agalactiae GB00651. RNAcentral's name for it is "partial 16S ribosomal RNA". It matches the Rfam family "Bacterial small subunit ribosomal RNA", at positions 1 to 108 of the family's 1533-position model. Lineage: Bacteria; Bacillati; Bacillota; Bacilli; Lactobacillales; Streptococcaceae. The record is from RNAcentral.
CUUUUAAUGAGAGUUUGAUCCUGGCUCAGGACGAACGCUGGCGGCGUGCCUAAUACAUGCAAGUAGAACGCUGAUGUUUGGUGUUUACACUAGACUGAUGAGUUGCGAACGGGUG